Molecule: ribosomal RNA, 253 nt
Filed under: uncultured bacterium
Lineage: Bacteria
Description: partial 16S ribosomal RNA
Rfam family: Bacterial small subunit ribosomal RNA
Source: RNAcentral
UACGGGGGGAGCAAGCGUUGUUCGGAUUUACUGGGCGUAAAGGGCUCGUAGGUGGCCAACUAAGUCAGACGUGAAAUCCCUCGGCUUAACCGGGGAACUGCGUCUGAUACUGGAUGGCUUGAGUUUGGGAGAGGGACGCGGAAUUCCAGGUGUAGCGGUGAAAUGCGUAGAUAUCAGGAGGAACACCGGUGGCGAAAGCGGCUUCCUGGCCCGACAUUGACGCUCAUGUACGAGAGCGUGGGGAGCAAACAGG